AGAGUUUGAUCCUGGCUCAGGAUGAACGCUAGCGACAGGCUUAACACAUGCAAGUCGAGGGGCAUCAUGAGGUAGCAAUACCUUGAUGGCGACCGGCGCACGGGUGAGUAACGCGUAUGCAACCUGCCUGAUACUCGGGGAUAGCCCAUGGAAACGUGGAUUAACACCCCAUAGUACUUUUAUCCUGCAUGGGAUGUGAGUUAAAUGUUCAAGGUAUCGGAUGGGCAUGCGUCCUAUUAGUUAGUUGGCGGGGUAACAGCCCACCAAGACGAUGAUAGGUAGGGGUUCUGAGAGGAAGGUCCCCCACAUUGGAACUGAGACACGGUCCAAACUCCUACGGGAGGCAGCAGUGAGGAAUAUUGGUCAAUGGACGAGAGUCUGAACCAGCCAAGUCGCGUGAGGGAAGACUGCCCUAUGGGUUGUAAACCUCUUUUAUAAGGGAAGAAUAAGUUCUACGUGUAGAAUGAUGCCUGUACCUUAUGAAUAAGCAUCGGCUAACUCCGUGCCAGCAGCCGCGGUAAUACGGAGGAUGCGAGCGUUAUCCGGAUUUAUUGGGUUUAAAGGGUGCGUAGGCGGUUUAUUAAGUUAGUGGUUAAAUAUUUGAGCUAAACUCAAUUUGCCAUUAAUACUGGUAAACUGGAGUACAGACGAGGUAGGCGGAAUAAGUUAAGUAGCGGUGAAAUGCAUAGAUAUAACUUAGAACUCCGAUAGCGAAGGCAGCUUACCAGACUGUAACUGACGCUGAUGCACGAGAGCGUGGGUAGCGAACAGGAUUAGAUACCCUGGUAGUCCACGCCGUAAACGAUGCUCACUGGUUCUGUGCGAUAUAUUGUACGGGAUUAAGCGAAAGUAUUAAGUGAGCCACCUGGGGAGUACGUCGGC
RNAcentral lists this ribosomal RNA (882 nucleotides) under human gut metagenome. Its description in RNAcentral is "bacterial SSU rRNA". It matches the Rfam family "Bacterial small subunit ribosomal RNA", at positions 8 to 889 of the family's 1533-position model. The record is from RNAcentral.